This 223-nucleotide unclassified non-coding RNA is filed under the name Hevea brasiliensis (rubber tree). Lineage: Eukaryota; Viridiplantae; Streptophyta; Magnoliopsida; Malpighiales; Euphorbiaceae. The record is from RNAcentral.
GGAAUGGGAGUGCCCGUCAUGCAACUAUGUGAAUUUUGUGAGAAACAGGGCAUGCAGGAAGUGCGAUUGUGCUCGCCCUAGUGAUGACAAGAGAAACAGUUUCGACGAUCAUGCAUGGAGGAAACCAAAUAUGUCCAGCAGGAAUUCCAGUUUCAAGUUUGUGGCUACCGUUGAUGAAGUUGGUGAUGAUGAAGAUGAUCGCAUCUUUCCACUUGAGGAAAAU